AACGCACAUUGCGCCUUCUGGUAUUCCGGGAGGCAUGCCUGUCCGAGCGUCAUCAAACCAAGUCAAGCAUUGGCGUUGCUAUUCGUCAAAGCUUGGAGUUGACGGGUGUGCGAGACCUGAUACGUCUAGCACACCGUCGAAACACAAAGGCGGAAACCGACGCGGCCCGUGGUGUUGUAAUACCUCAUUUCACCUGUGUGGCCGCAUUGUAAUUUCCAGCCCAAGACAACUCCCAGUGUGGGAAAAAUAAUCUCCAAUGUUUGACCUCGGAUCAGGUAAGGAUACCCGCUGAACUUAA
Molecule: unclassified non-coding RNA, 298 nt
Filed under: uncultured Ascomycota
Lineage: Eukaryota; Fungi; Ascomycota
Description: sequence contains ITS2
Source: RNAcentral